AUACGAAGGGUGCAAGCGUUGUUCGGAAUCACUGGGCGUAAAGAAUGCGUAGGCGGCUCAAUAAGUCGGAAGUGAAAUCCCAGGGCUUAACCCUGGAACUGCUUUCGAAACUAUUUUUGCUAGAGUCCCGGAGGGGUUAGCGGAAUUCCGAGUGUAGAGGUGAAAUUCGCAGAUAUUCGGAGGAACACCAGUGGCGAAGGCGGCUAACUGGACGGGAACUGACGCUGAGGCAUGAAAGUGUGGGGAUC
This 248-nucleotide ribosomal RNA is filed under the name uncultured bacterium. RNAcentral describes it as "partial 16S ribosomal RNA". It matches the Rfam family "Bacterial small subunit ribosomal RNA", at positions 523 to 769 of the family's 1533-position model. The record is from RNAcentral.